AGCUGCUUUAAUCACUCUAAUUACUUUUGUUCUAUUGGGAAAUAGAGUCAAGUUAUCCCAGAUCCAGUUUUAACAUGAUGAAGUCAGACAUAAAAGCCUGUAUAAGGUGAUUAAAUAAGUGUUUUAUAGCAACAGCAAAUAACUAAUAAAAUAUAUACUUUUCAAACCAUGAAGUUAAUGCCAUAACUUUGUGCUAAUGGUGUAUGAUUUCCAAUGAAUCCAGACAAAUUGACAUGGAAACAGAUUAUUUGCAUCGAGGCCCUGGGAGGUUGUGCUUCAUUAUGAGAGCUAAUUAAAUAACGGCACAUACUCCCUGCGUCGUUUGAAAGCCUGAAAAUGUUUUUCCCUUUUCAUGGCCAGUGAAAAGUUUUUAUUAGUUUAUGUUUAUUACUCCAACUGUCUUCCAAGUGUCUCACCACAUAAAAAAUAUUUCACUUAGUAAAUGGUCAUUUAGCUGUUGUUCAUGGUACGUUUGCCUGUGUGGUGUAAAUUUCAUCAUCUGUCCAACUCAGAGAGUCUACAUAGACCCUGUUUGCAGUACAGGUACUCCAUCUCUGCUGAAAUGUUAAUAACCAGUCCCAGACGUUUGUGUAUCACAAAUACAUUAAUAUACGUAUUUCAAUCUGAAGAUAAAAAAACAACAGGUAAGAGAAAAAUAAACAACAGAAUGAAGGUGAGUCCUGGUGUCCAGGUGAGCACACUGAAAACAAGGUGGGCUCUGAUUGGUCGUCACACAUAGAUGUCUUCUGCCCCCACAUUCAACUGCUUGGUGAUUGGUGUUUCCAUGGAAACAACCGCGUUGCAGGGAACUGUAGAGAUAUAACAUGUUAGCAUCUGUUAGCAUCUGUUUUGGUGUGUGUGUUACAGUUUGUGUACCAUAGAGAGACUCUUCCUCUCUUUCUUGCUUCUCAUCUUCGCAUCUCUUCUUGUUGCCACGGUGACCGUGCAUCAUCACGUACACAUUUUCCCCCGACGGGCCUGAAACGGUGACGGAUUAUAGUCUGACAUUUUAUAAUAUGAAUCUGUCCUAAAAGGCUGCCUCUGAUUGGCCACUGUACCUGCGGCGCUCGUCCUCUGAAUCCUCCUCCUCCUCAGGAUGAAGAUGCUGAAGAACAGCAGCAGACACAUCAGCAGGAAGCAGCAGAUCAGCAGGGCCACGUGGUCUGUCUGGCCAUCUGCAGACAGAGGCAUCACUGUUACCUGUUCGUCUCUGCAAACGUGACUUCAUGUUUUUCAUAGUGGGGACAUGUCAGACCUGACGUCUUCGUUGAUGUCACGGUUGUGGACUCACCGUCCUCCACCUGGAGCAGAAAGUCUUUCUUCAGCAAUCGUUUCCCUUCUUCGUCAAACACCUCCAGGCUGUAGUUUCCUGAGUCCUCGAUCUGGACCGGGCUGAACCUCAGGGAGCCGUUGCUCAGCAGCUCGCACCGCCCAUGGUCACACCUGGUCUGGUUGUUCUUUGUUGACAGCACCAGGUGGGGGUGAGUCCAUCUGACGUCCCAUCUGUGUUCCAGCCCCAGACUCGGCAGGUCUGACUGGGGGUGCAGCAGGAGAGUCUCGCCGCUGAGGGCAGAUACUAUGAUGAUCUUUGUUUUGGCAGCUGGGGUCAAAGGUCACACAAAUAACAGGAAACAUAAGUGAGCUGUCACUAGCUCACCUGCCAUCCAGGUGUUCGAGCAACAAGGGAUCAGAGACAAGUCGGUACCAGAAGCUGAAGGACUAUUCCCAAACAGUCAUAAAACAGUUAAAUAAGCUUUGAUUGGCUGGUUGUCAGUAAAAUGCAUGUUGGGAGUUGGAGUUCUCUCAUUCAGUUUGACUGUCCACAGGCUUCUAGUAGCUUUGACCUCAUUAUUCUGCAGUGUGUUGUGGUACUAUAGUGUAGUACAUGCUGUACUGCAUAAUGGAAAACUGCAUUGGUGCAUUUGUAUGUUUUUGUAGUACUUUAUAUUUUAAUAAGUUAAACUGUUAAAACACAAACACUGAUUAAAUAUAUGAUGUUAUUCUGGUGCUGCUGUUACACUCAGUGGUGUCAGUUUACUCUCAUUGACUGUGUCACAUGACAAAGCCUGUUUCUACUUUCACACCUGAACAUGAAACCACAUAUCUGAAAUAACGUCUCAUCUCAGAACAGACAGACUCACUUUUCAUCAUCGUCAUCAUCAGUAACUGGACCAGGAGCAACAUGGCUGCUGUCUGAGGUGCACUUUGCUGGCCCUCUGCUGUCAGUCACUGUGGAGAGGAAACG
Long non-coding RNA from Mastacembelus armatus (zig-zag eel), 2245 nucleotides. Lineage: Eukaryota; Metazoa; Chordata; Actinopteri; Synbranchiformes; Mastacembelidae. The record is from Ensembl.